UACGUAGGGCGCAAGCGUUGUCCGGAAUUAUUGGGCGUAAAGAGCUUGUAGGCGGUUUGUCGCGUCUGCUGUGAAAAUCCGGGGCUCAACCCCGGACUUGCAGUGGGUACGGGCAGACUAGAGUGUGGUAGGGGAGACUGGAAUUCCUGGUGUAGCGGUGAAAUGCGCAGAUAUCAGGAGGAACACCGGUGGCGAAGGCGGGUCUCUGGGCCGAUACUGACGCUGGAGGAGCGAAAGCGUGGGGAGCGAACAGG
Molecule: ribosomal RNA, 254 nt
Filed under: uncultured bacterium
Lineage: Bacteria
Description: partial 16S ribosomal RNA
Rfam family: Bacterial small subunit ribosomal RNA
Source: RNAcentral